UUAAAUAUAUAUAUAUAUAUAUAGCAAAACUUGAUUAUAACUUAAUUGCAUAAAAUUGCGCACUUAAAUGUGCUUACAUGCAAACAGUUGUACUUACAACAAUAAUACGCUUUCACUUUGAAUCGAUAAUUCUGCAUCUUCGAUUUUGUUUGAUAUAUGCAAGGAUUAAUUUUCCUCCUUCUUUCUAUAUAAACAUAAAUAAACAAAGAUAUGUUGUCGUACCAGCGCACGUCGGGCAGCAUUGACCAGGCAUCGGUGGCUGUUCCACGGUCGCGCAAGGGACUAUCGGACAGGGCAUCGUGUCGCAUCGCGCCAAGCCGCGAUAGCAAUGACACAUCGAACAGGGAUCCGAGCUCGACGUCCAUUGCGUGCCUUCCUCGUAGAAUCUGGUCUCGUGAAAGCACGCGCCGGCCUCGAAAUCCUCCAACCUACCGGCACCGGGCAGGUACAUCACGGAGGCGAUGUCAUUGUCGGCGUAAUGCGGCAAACAGCUAAACGGCGCCCUAGCUUUGAAGGGAGCCUUUAAGACAGCUCCAUCGAUGACAGUCCGGUGACGGAACCCUCCAAAGAGUAUCCUGUAAAUUCUUCGAGAAGUCUCCUGGCAACGGGAGCACCUUGCGCCAACAGAGGCAUCGUUUCCAGAUACAAACGGAAGGUCCGUGGUUCUUGAGAAGAGGCGGGAAACCCAGCGAGCUCCAACUCGUAAUGCAGGGAACAAUCCAGAUCUAUCGCGAUCCAUAUCAAACCGACCGGUCCGGGAUAUAUCGGUUCUUUGGUCGAUCGGCGCAGCAAUAUGGGCGCAGCGGUGUCUCUAGCGUCUGCCACGGGUCUUUCCAAGAGUCUGCCGCGCAACACGGAGCCGAGGUGACUCGCAGCGACUACGGAGAGGUCCUCGUUGAAGAGCGGUUGUAGGAGUCUCGGUCCGGGCCGUUCCAAGGAACCGUUCGCGAGACCGUUGAUCAACGAGGGCGUCAGAUCCUCGAGUUCCGUUCUUCGUUUCCCACCCUCGUCCACCAACGUUACCAAGGGACUCUCCUCCUCGAGUCCUAUCAACUGAACUCCGUAACGUAGCGCUCCGAUACGAUCCAGGAAGGCCCAGACCAAUCCGGACGCCACGGACGGCGUCUCCGACAACAGGAGGGUCUGAUAUAUAUCGCAAGUCGCGCGCGGACCAACCGUGCCAACUAGACGAAGAGCCUGCGGAUCUUUGCGAGACAUUAUACUGAUCGACAACUUGCCACGGGUCAACAAACGGAGAUCGGUGCCGGAGAGCGCGCUGCGAAUCUCACCGAAAUUCAGUUCGUUGGACGGCUUCUUCACCACUAUCUCCUCGGUAAGGACCACGUAAUCCUUCUCCUGAUGUUCCAGCUUAACGAUCAGCGGAACGUCGGCCACGUCGUUCGGCAGGAAGAGACCGUUGAAGACGAGCGACACGUGGAUCGAGGGGGUCGAGGCGGAUGAGGUGGCGACGAUCGCCGUCGCGCCUGCACCCGACAUCAACGAUCGAUCGACGCCCAUCGUCGGUUCUAGCAGCGAGGAGAACUGCUCGCUCGACAACGCGCGGUAUCGAGACACCUGACCGGUCAGACUCGACGAGGGUUCCCAGAUGAAGGAGACGUGCAGACGUUCCUCGCGCAGUAAUUUACGAUAGUCGCGCGGCACCCGCCUCCAGACGCCGCAAAGCUUGCCGGUGGCGUUUUGGUAGGCGCCACCGAUCGGAUCGAUCGCCUGUUCUUCGAGGAUGCUGCCGAAUCCAUCGACGAACUGUAUGUUGCGCGGCCGAGGCGUCGAUGCGGACAGAUAGAACGAGUAGUAGAGAUUUUUGCGGUGGAAGCUGAAGCGACCGGUUGCUAGAUAGUUGUACGCGCCGUUGUACGCCGUUGGAUUCGAAUUGUCGCGACGCAGAGAUUGCGACGUUCUGCCCGUUAACAGGGUGCCGAAAUCUGUAAUUGCAAAAUGCAUCGUUAAUCGUAAUUUCAGUCACUGUCGUGUCCAUGAGCCCGUUUCAAAUAAUUAGUAUACAAUCGAAUCUUACGUUUCAAGCUUCGUUCUUCCUCCUCCAAAGUCAACUGCGCCGGCAAAUCUUGCGCUAUGUCUAUAUCUGUAACACAAAAGAUUUUUUUUUUUUUCGUAAAUAUAUACGCGUGUCGUUAUCGUUAUUUUAUUACUCGAUGCAAUCUUUUUCUUUUCGUACAAAAGGUUCAAAUCGAUCGGAAAUUUUUGCACUCUCUUUCGUCUUUUUCGUUUGAAAUAUUUUUUCCCUGUUCGACAUCAGGAAUAAUUCAAGAAGGACAAACUAGACGAGACAUUCUCGAGUUUCCUUGAAUCGGUCUUGGAGAGGCGUAUAUCAUAUAUGUAGUUUCACACACACAAACGCAUGUACAACUAUACAAAAGGAAAAAAAUUCUCUUUCGCACAAGAGAAUAGCGAGUGUUUUUUUUACAUGCAUGGCGGUGACGCCACCGACCGGGUGGCAACCCGGUUCUCUCUUCCUCUCCUUCAUUCAGCAUAGGUAUAAAAUAAAGAUAAACGGUUAAUCGCGUCGAUCGUCGAUUCUCAACAUUCAGCAGCCUCGAUUCAGCAAUCGGUGGUGGCAUGUGCAUGGAUCAUAAAGAAUGUCUGUAGGAAAAAGAGUCGGCUGGCGCCGCUACUUUGAAUGUUACUUUUAUGGCGCAUACCGCGCCGGUUCAGCGCCACAGAGACGUUAAUUGCCCCCGUGCGCAAAACGUACACGCGGUACGUCGUUCCUCACCCUCAUCCCCUCUUUCUCCGUCGACACGCGUGAGACCAACCACGGCUAUUGACCAAACUAUUUCCGGCUUAAUCGAAUAAUCGCGGCGGACGACACGACGUUCGUUCUGUCGCGCGUCGUUAAUAUUGAGAAAGAAUGUAAAUGUUAAUCGAGUGGUUCAUUACAAGCAUUGCUCACAAUCGUGCUUUCUAUCUUUGUUUUCAUUUUUUUGUCAAUAAAUCGUGCUUUUAUUUUAACUAACACAUUAUUUCAUAUUUUAGGAACGCGUUAUUAGAGGAUUAUUGAGGAAAAAAAAGAAAAAAAUGGAGAAUAAGCUCGUAAAGCUGUAUUCUCGCGAUCGAUCAAAAUUCUUUUCUCGAACGAUUUCUGACGUACUAUAUAUAAAUUGCGUUUUUCAGCCAAUAUACGCACGCGUCAGUAUACUCGUAAUUAAUGUCUAAUUUAUUUUACAACGUCGAAGAAGACUCGACGUCCGCAUAUUUUCGUGGCCGAUUGUGAUAAUCGACGAGAACCGAAUGAGAAUCGAUGCGACGGUUCAAUCGACGGGUUCAAGGGUCGCGAUACAUUUCCUCGUGACGAACGUAAAAGAAAGGCGCUGUUAAUUGCGCCGAGUUUCACCUUUCAUCAGCAGGGGCCAACGAGCCCCUCUUCUAUCAGACAGCAGUGACGACUGGGGAGGAAAAUAAAUUUGACGCGCGUGAUAUCGAGAUGUCUGUGCGAGCUCUCUGUGAGAGCAAAUGCGAGACAGAGAGUGGGAUUGCGAGAAAUGAUUCUGUAUUAUCGUCGUCGGUGGAAUCGACGCGGCGACAACAAGAAGGAGAAAGAGCGCUUUAUCAAAAGUGUCGUCAUAUAUACAUACAUACGUACAUAUACGAGUAUAAAAUAUAUAUGCGAGUCUUUUUCGUCGCAUCGUCAAUGAUCCACGCGACAGACGUUGCAAAGUAUCGCGAUCCAUUGUCUCAAUGGAGUCAAAAUGACGUCGGAUAAUGUGUAAAGAAUACACACUUUAUGUAAGUUGUUUAUGCAAAAAAAGUUAAAUUAUAAAAUACACCGAGACAAGUAUAAAAGUCUGAAAUUGCGGUAUAACGUGGAGUCGAAAUGGCAGGCAGAACUUCAUUACAAUUGCGUACUUUGCGUAAAUCGAGUGACUUUAGUACAAACGUCUCUAUCGUUGUUUAUAAGCAUUCCGGACAAAAGUAAAAGGUCGAAAAGUAAAUGGAACGAUCAAACGAAUAUAUUUUAUAUAAACGACAUAAAAGACUCCCGUUGUUCCUCUCCCCGCUGAGCGCGUCGUAUCCACAUGUCUACAAUCUCUCUCUAUCUCUCUCGCCUCAUCCGCCUCCAUCUAUUCUUAUUCCCUGCGCGCGUUCUGCCCGAUCAUUACAUAUGCUAAUAUUUACAUUUAGAUUGCACGGCUUAAUCGAAGUGACGCCAUGCGGUAAUAUAGCCGGCGCCAUGGCGCUAAACCCGUGGCGUCCGUCCUCGUCUCCUCUCGCUUCGCUCCGCUCCGCUUCUCUUCUCUUCUCUUCUCUUUGCCGAUUACAACUCGAGUUCCCUCUCGAGAGAACGCGAUCGGUCACUCUAAACCUUUCUUUUUUUCAUCCGUCGUCCAGUCUUUUUUUUUUCCUCGUUAUAUCUUUUCAUCAUCGAGCGAAAUUAUAUAUUCAUCCGUCCGUCGUCCUCUCUCUCUCUUUGUUCCUAUUUCUAAAUAAAGAAGAAAAUGUGUAUCGUCAUUUUUAUCCUCGAAAAUAGGCGAGAGAAUGCAAUAAUCGUGUAAACGGUGACACGAGAGAUUUAUAUAACGCGUCUCAAUUUGCGAUUUAUUCGGGAUUAUUUCGGAUAAACAAUUCACGUAGCAAUAAAUAUGCAACGCACGCGGCGAUAAUAUCGCUAUGCGAGAGCGAAGCGUUUCGUGCCAAUUUGCGCUCAUUACCGUUGCUGACGCACGCGAGGCUUAUCUGCUAACCUUAUCAGGGUGCGAGAUACGCUACUUUCACCGCAUCGGCGGCAUGGGCCAAAUUCUUCGAGAGCUCCCUCUCUCCCCUCUCCCUCCCCCACCAGGCACAACGCCGUCUAUUUCUCUUCGCGGAUACCUAAUCUGUAUCGCAGCUCGCAGCUAGUCGCAGUAGAAUGCGGAUGGAGUAAAUCGCAUAGUCGAGAUACUCGGAGCGCGAAAAAACCAAAUGAAAUAUUUAUGAUAAACCACGCGCGCGUUGAUCUCUACAGUUUCAUCCCUACAGUUUACAUCUCGCGGGAAUUCAUUUCCGUAUGUGUUUUUCACGCGAUUCGAGAGAAAGGGGGACGAAACUCUGAAAAUAAACGAGAAAAAAAGAAACUAAUCAGAUAUAU
Molecule: long non-coding RNA, 5101 nt
Organism: Nylanderia fulva
Lineage: Eukaryota; Metazoa; Arthropoda; Insecta; Hymenoptera; Formicidae
Source: RefSeq, a predicted model, not a curated record